This 1812-nucleotide long non-coding RNA is filed under the name Oncorhynchus mykiss (rainbow trout). Its description in RNAcentral is "lncRNA (ENSOMYG00000067426.1)". The record is from RNAcentral. Lineage: Eukaryota; Metazoa; Chordata; Actinopteri; Salmoniformes; Salmonidae.
AUGAUGUUUCUAGAGACAAUAUCCCUCUUCAUCACUCAAUACCUAGGUUUACCUCCACUGUACUCACAUCCUACCUUACCUUUGUCUGUACAUUAUACCUUGAUGCUAUUUUAUCACCCCCAGAAACCUCCUUUUACUCUCUGUUCCAGACGUUCUAAACGACCAAUUCUUAUUGCUUUUAGCCGCACCCUUAUUCUACUCCUACUCUGUUCAUCUGGCGAUGUAGAGGUGAAUCCAGGCCCUGCAGUGCCUAGCUCCACUCCUAUUCCCCAGGCGCUCUCUUUUGACGACUUCUGUAACCGUAAUAGCCUUGGUUUCAUGCAUGUUAACAUUAGAAGCCUCCUUCCUAAGUUUGUUCUAUUCACUGCUUUAGCACACUCUGCCAACCCGGAUGUUCUAGCUGUGUCUGAAUCCUGGCUUAGGAAGACCACCAAAAAUUCAGACAUUUUAAUUCCAAACUACAACAUUUUCAGACAAGAUAGAACUGCCAAAGGGGGCGGUGUUGCAAUCUACUGCAAAGAUAGCCUGCAGAGUUCUGUCCUACUAUCCAGGUCUGUACCCAAACAAUUUGAACUUCUACUUUUAAAAAUCCACCUCUCUAAAAACAAGUCUCUCACCGUUGCCGCCUGCUAUAGACCACCCUCUGCCCCCAGCUGUGCUCUGGACACCAUAUGUGAACUGAUUGCCCCCCAUCUAUCUUCAGAGCUCGUGCUGCUAGGCGACCUAAACUGGAACAUGCUUAACACCCCAGCCAUCCUACAAUCUAAACUUGAUGCCCUCAACCUCACACAAAUUAUCAAUGAACCUACCAGGUACCUCCCCAAAGCCUUAAACACGGGCACCCUCAUAGAUAUCAUCCUAACCAACUUGACCUCUAAAUACACCUUUGCUGUUUUCAACCAAGAUCUCAGCGAUCACUGCCUCAUUGCCUGCAUCCGUAAUGGGUCAGCGGUCAAACGACCUCCACUCAUCACUGUAAAACGCUCCCUGAAACACUUCAGCGAGCAGGCCUUUCUAAUCGACCUGGCCGGGGUAUCCUGGAAGGAUAUUGAUCUCAUCCCGUCAGUAGAGGAUGCCUGGAUAUUUUUUUUAAAUGCCUUCCUAACCAUCUUAAAUAAACAUGCCCCAUUCAAGAAAUUUAGAACCAGGAACAGAUAUAGCCCUUGGUUCUCCCCAGACCUGACUGCCCUUAACCAACACAAAAACAUCCUAUGGCGUUCUGCAUUAGCAUCGAACAGCCCCCGUGAUAUGCAGCUGUUCAGGGAAGCUAGAAACCAUUAUACACAGGCAGUUAGAAAAGCCAAGGCUAGCUUUUUCAAGCAGAAAUUUGCUUCCUGCAACACUAACUCAAAAAAGUUCUGGGACACUGUAAAGUCCAUGGAGAAUAAGAACACCUCCUCCCAGCUGCCCACUGCACUGAAGAUAGGAAACACUGUCACCACUGAUAAAUCCACCAUAAUUGAGAAUUUCAAUAAGCAUUUUUCUACGGCUGGCCAUGCUUUCCACCUGGCUACUCCUACCCCGGUCAACAGCACUGCACCCCCCACAACAACUCGCCCAAGCCUUCCCCAUUUCUCCUUCUCCCAAAUCUGCUCAGCUGAUGUUCUGAAUGAGCUGCAAAAUCUGGACCCCUACAAAUCAGCCGGGCUAGACAAUCUGGACCCUUUCUUUCUAAAAUUAUCUGCCAAAAUUGUUGCCACCCCUAUUACUAGCCUGUUCAACCUCUCUUUCGUGUCGUCUGAGAUUCCCAAAGAUUGGAAAGCAGCUGUGGUCAUCCCCCUCUUCAAAGGGGGUGACACUCUUGACUGCUAA